CCGGAGGCAGCAGUGAGGAAUAUUGGUCAAUGGAGGCAACUCUGAACCAGCCAUGCCGCGUGCAGGAAGACAGCCCUCUGGGUCGUAAACUGCUUUUAUUCGGGAAUAAACCUUUCUACGUGUAGGAAGCUGAAUGUACCGAAGGAAUAAGGAUCGGCUAACUCCGUGCCAGCAGCCGCGGUAAUACGGAGGAUCCAAGCGUUAUCCGGAUUUAUUGGGUUUAAAGGGUGCGUAGGCGGCUUAUUAAGUCAGGGGUGAAAGACGGUGGCUCAACCAUCGCAGUGCCUUUGAUACUGAUGAGCUUGAAUGAACUAGAGGUAGGCGGAAUGUGACAAGUAGCGGUGAAAUGCAUAGAUAUGUCACAGAACACCGAUUGCGAAGGCAGCUUACUAUGGUUUUAUUGACGCUGAGGCACGAAAGCGUGGGGAUCAAACAGGAUUAGAUACCCGUGUAGUCCU
RNAcentral lists this ribosomal RNA (458 nucleotides) under uncultured bacterium. RNAcentral's name for it is "bacterial SSU rRNA". It matches the Rfam family "Bacterial small subunit ribosomal RNA", at positions 342 to 797 of the family's 1533-position model. The record is from RNAcentral.